AUAUUCUGAUAACUGGUGCUGAGGAAGAAGAUUAGGACUGUUUUUAGCACUGAAGGCUGCAGGACAUAUGGAUGCUGCAGACCUGUUAGUGACAGACAGAAAGUUGUUUGGAGGCAACAGGACAGAUUGUCUGGGAUUCCUGGCUGAGUCCCAAGGAAAGGCUGAUGAGGAGGAGGUGAGAGGAGAAGCAAAGGACCGAAUUCUUCUGCAGAAGAAAAGAAGCAGAAAAGGGAUCUGCAAGCAGAGACAAUGCUGCUCCUGUCAAGGGCAUGUGCUGUCUGGUCAGGGCACAGCCAUGAUUCCCUCUGGUAGGAGACAGGGGAGGGAAUUUUGGGAGGGAUGGAUGGAGGCAGUGUCCCUGAGUAGCAGGAAAAGUGCCUGGGAGGGGGCCUGCACAGGGGUCAGGAGGGGCAAGGACCUGGAGGGAAGCUGGAGUCUGGAGAUGGGACCAGUGUCAGAAGCACAGAACAGCCCAGGCUGGAAGAAACCCCCCAAGGUCAUCUGGUUCAACCUUUCAUGGGAAACAGAGAGUGUAGAUGAGAUUCUCUGGCACCCUGUGCAGUCACAUCUUGAAAACUUCCAGCAGUGA
RNAcentral lists this long non-coding RNA (589 nucleotides) under Zonotrichia albicollis (white-throated sparrow). Its description in RNAcentral is "lncRNA (ENSZALG00000014162.1)". Lineage: Eukaryota; Metazoa; Chordata; Aves; Passeriformes; Passerellidae. The record is from RNAcentral.